Molecule: transfer RNA, 65 nt
Filed under: Hydatigera taeniaeformis
Lineage: Eukaryota; Metazoa; Platyhelminthes; Cestoda; Cyclophyllidea; Taeniidae
Description: Taenia taeniaeformis tRNA
Rfam family: tRNA
About the family: Transfer RNA (tRNA) molecules are approximately 80 nucleotides in length.
Source: Rfam by way of RNAcentral
GUCGCGAUGGCCGAGUGGUUAAGGCGAUGGACUCGAAAUCCAUUGGGGUUUCCCCGCGCAGGUUC